Long non-coding RNA from Mercurialis annua (annual mercury), 716 nucleotides. RefSeq lists it as uncharacterized. The transcript has 2 exons. The record is from RefSeq and is a predicted model, not a curated record. Lineage: Eukaryota; Viridiplantae; Streptophyta; Magnoliopsida; Malpighiales; Euphorbiaceae.
AGGAUCAUACCGGUGGCUUUCUUGCAAGCUGUGCAGUUGUUGCCUCAGGCUUGCUGCCUCCCUUUGCCAAAACUACAACAUCAAAUAUCCAAUAGCUGUAUUGCAUGGAUGACUGAAGGGCCUUUCUGACUAGAGAGACUUCUACUAGUCACCUCCAAAACUGUGUCUUAAAGCUAUAAGAACCAGAGUUGAGAACAAAAUUACUGUUACAAAAUCUGUCUUAAAAAUCCUUUUUCUGCCUGACAUUCUUUCGAUCGAAAUACAUGCCCUGCAUCUCUGUUAUUUUCUUCAAAUGAUUUUCAUAUUCUGAUUACUCGACAGCCGACAGAAUGGAGAGCAUUGUUUCGCUAAACUUAAUUUUAGCUACGAAUAUACUAUCAUAUAUCAAUUUAAAUCUCAAACCUAUGCUAUAUUUGUACCCUCUAUUUAUUUUAUAUGCAUUUUUUAUGCAAAUUAUAACAUCUGAUCAUUACUGUCUUGCUUCUUUAAUAACUAUGGGAUUUUUUUAUGUCAAAAAUAAUGUGAGAAUAUUUAGAGAGUGGACAUCAAAACUCAAAUUCUUAAAACAUAAAUUCCCUACAUUAUACUAGUUAUAGGGUUUCCUAUAUAUACAACCUUAUGGAAACCCUAGGUAUGAUUUUAUUCUUUAUUCUAUUCUUGAAUUUCUUUCUUAUCUUCAUAUUUUACAUACGCUAAGUUGAUCAUUACAGUGAAAA